This is a long non-coding RNA of Etheostoma cragini (Arkansas darter), 92 nucleotides long. RefSeq lists it as uncharacterized. The record is from RefSeq and is a predicted model, not a curated record. NCBI's taxonomy places the organism in Eukaryota, Metazoa, Chordata, Actinopteri, Perciformes, Percidae. The transcript has 3 exons.
GAAAGAGCCAGGCUGGCUGUUUUCCCCAGUCUCCAGUCUUCAUGCUAAGCUAAGCUAAUCAGCUGCUGGCUCUAGCUGUAUGUUUACAUGCA